RNAcentral lists this ribosomal RNA (801 nucleotides) under uncultured bacterium. Its description in RNAcentral is "bacterial SSU rRNA". It matches the Rfam family "Bacterial small subunit ribosomal RNA", at positions 13 to 804 of the family's 1533-position model. The record is from RNAcentral.
UUUCUUUUGGCUCAGGAUGAACGCUAGCGGCAGGCUUAACACAUGCAAGUCGAGGGGCAGCGAGAUCAGUGCUUGCACUGAUUGUCGGCGACCGGCGCACGGGUGCGUAACGCGUAUGCAACCUACCCAUUACAGGGGGAUAACACUGAGAAAUCGGUACUAAUACCCCAUAACAUCCAGGGAGGCAUCUUCUUGGGUUGAAAACUCCGGUGGUAAUGGAUGGGCAUGCGUUGUAUUAGUUAGUUGGUGGGGUAACGGCUCACCAAGACAACGAUACAUAGGGGGACUGAGAGGUUAACCCCCCACAUUGGUACUGAGACACGGACCAAACUCCUACGGGAGGCAGCAGUGAGGAAUAUUGGUCAAUGGACGCAAGUCUGAACCAGCCAUGCCGCGUGCAGGAAGACGGCUCUAUGAGUUGUAAACUGCUUUUGUACGAGGGUAAACGCAGAUACGCGUAUCUGUCUGAAAGUAUCGUACGAAUAAGGAUCGGCUAACUCCGUGCCAGCAGCCGCGGUAAUACGGAGGAUUCAAGCGUUAUCCGGAUUUAUUGGGUUUAAAGGGUGCGUAGGCGGUCGGAUAAGUUAGAGGUGAAAUCCCGGGGCUCAACUUCGGAAUUGCCUCUGAUACUGUUCGGCUAGAGAGUAGUUGCGGUAGGCGGAAUGUAUGGUGUAGCGGUGAAAUGCUUAGAGAUCAUACAGAACACCGAUUGCGAAGGCAGCUUACCAAGCUACUUCUGACGUUGAGGCACGAAAGCGUGGGGAGCAAACAGGAUUAGAUACCCUGGUAGUCCACGCAGUA